CCUACGGGAGACAGCAGUAGGGAAUUUUCGGCAAUGGGGGGAACCCUGACCGAGCAACGCCGCGUGAACGAAGAAGUUAUUCGUAAUGUAAAGUUCUUUUAACAGGGAAGAAAGAGAAAUUUGACGGUACCUGAAGAAUAAGCUCCGGCUAACUACGUGCCAGCAGCUGCGGUAAUACGUAGGGAGCGAGCGUUAUCCGGAAUUAUUGGGCGUAAGGGGUGCGUAGGUGGCAGAGUAAGUCGUUGGGAAAAAUGCUGGGCUCAAGCCAGUAGGGCAAAAGAUACUGCAAAGCUAGAGUAUGACAGAGGCAAGUGGAACUAGAGGUGUAGCGGUAAAAUGCGUAGAUAUAUGUAAGAACACCAGUGGCGAAGGCGGCUUGCUGGGUCGAUACUGACAUUGAGGCACGAAAGCGUGGGGAGCAAACAGGAUUAGAUACCCGAGUAGUC
This 446-nucleotide ribosomal RNA is filed under the name uncultured bacterium. RNAcentral describes it as "partial 16S ribosomal RNA". It matches the Rfam family "Bacterial small subunit ribosomal RNA", at positions 338 to 795 of the family's 1533-position model. The record is from RNAcentral.